CCUUUCUCUUAUAACCAUACGUAUGCCCCUUCUUUCAUUUCUCUGUUUUCCUGUCUCACUCAGCCACCGAAGCCCACAGACAUACACCCUCUAGUUCCCUCUAUUUCUCUCACUCCCUCACCAGUAAACCAACCAUCCACCACCACUUUUGGCGGAUUUCACCGGAGAACCCCAGUAGAAACCCCAUACACUCCAUUCUCUCAAAGCUUUAAAGUUUUUCAGAUAAAUUAGCUACACGUCGAGCAUAGAGCUUAAUUUAUUGGUGGUGAUUGGAGUGCUAUAUUAAAUUGGGAGACUUGGGCCAUUAAUGGUUAAUGACUCAAUCUUGCAAAGUUCAACAAGAUCAUAAUCAAUUCUAUUGGAGGUUGGAUACUUGAGGUCUGUUAGGCUUGGGUGCGGGAGGCCUAGAUUUUUGUUGAGGUUGCAUACCUUGGAGAGGAUCAUGACUUUGUGUUUAUUGUAUUUGGAAUGUUGGAUUGUUAAGUGUAUUUUGAGGCACAUGAUUUGUAGUUUGUAUUGCUUGUAAAUGUGUCAUCGAGCUCUGACUUGUAUUGUGGAGAGAUCAAUAUAUUUAUUUAUAUU
Molecule: long non-coding RNA, 582 nt
Organism: Quercus robur (English oak)
Lineage: Eukaryota; Viridiplantae; Streptophyta; Magnoliopsida; Fagales; Fagaceae
Exons: 2
Source: RefSeq, a predicted model, not a curated record